This 5594-nucleotide long non-coding RNA is filed under the name Callithrix jacchus (white-tufted-ear marmoset). RNAcentral describes it as "lncRNA (ENSCJAG00000074120.1)". Lineage: Eukaryota; Metazoa; Chordata; Mammalia; Primates; Cebidae. The record is from RNAcentral.
UUUCACAGACGAUUGUUUCUUUUCUGUGACACUGUUUGCUACUUACUAGCUAUGUAAUGCUGGGCAAGUUGCUGAAACCUCUGCCCUUCUGUUGCCUUGUCAGUACAAUGAGUAUAACAGUCGUAACUGCAUUGUGGAGAUUAUGUGAAGUAAUGCACGUAAGCAUAUAACACAGUGCUUGGCACAUAUUGAUAUUCAAUAAAUGUUAGCUAUUAAUUAUUGCAUAUUUUCAUAGGCAAUAUCGAAUAUGAGGAUUGUAAGAUGGACUGUGCUGGAAUGCCUAGACUGUGGAGUUGUGGAGGAGGAGUCAGCCCUCACCCAUUCUGCGACCUUGCAACAGGAUUCUCAACCACUCUGGGCCGCCUUUUCCUGAUACCGCAGCCCUGCUAGUUUAUUCUCCCCGUGGUGCCAUGAAGUGUGUUCAAUCGUCCCCAUUUUAUGAGGAGGAUACUGAGGCUUGGAGAAGAGACAGGGUCUUGCUGUGUUUCCCAGCCUGGACUUGAACUCCUGGCUUCAAGCGAUUCUUCCACCUCAGCCUCCCAAAGUGCAAGGAUAACAGGUGUGAGCCACUGUGACCACCCAGAAGCCACUUCUAAGAUCAACUUACAAAAGACUGUGACUUCCAGCUCCCUGCCAUUCUUUCUGGCUCUUCUUGCUUGCUUGGAGGAAGCAAGCUACCAUGUUGUGAGCUGCCUUGUGGAGAAGCCCAUGUGGCAAAGAACUAAGGGCCCUCUGGCCAACAGCUAGAGAGGAACUGAGACGCUCAGUCCAACAGCCUGUGGCAAAUAGAAUCCUGCCAAUAACCACGUUAGUGAUCUUGGGAAGAGAUCCUUCCGAUUUUGAGCCAGGAGAUUUCUGUGGCUUGGGCCAACACCUUGGUUGUGGACUUGUGAGAGACCCAAACCAGAGGACCCAGCCAAGCCAUGCCCAGAGUUGUGGCUUAUGGAAACCAUAAGGUGAUGCAUGCUGUUGAUUUAUGGCUUUCAUUUCCUGGGUAGUCAUACAACAAUAGGUAAAUAAUACACCUUCUUUCUUCCUUGCUAAUUGGAAAAUGGAUGUGAUAAUCGGAACUGACGUCUUAGACAAUAGAACAGACUUGGGAAUUGAGACCCUACGUGGAGUAACAGUGAGCUAGAAGGAGUCUGGGACCCUGCGACACAGCGAUGGUUCUGAAUUGUCUUUCGUUCUCAGCUGACUUCAACCUUUCCUCUUUUUGUGUUACCCUUUUAUGUAAACAAGGCUAUGUCCAGGCAAAAUGGUGAAAUAGGUCACAUUUCCCUUUGAUGCCCUUGUUGUUUCUGUAGCUUCUUUACUCUUUCCUUGAUCUUUUCCUUGUCUACCGCUCAGUCCUCUUCUGUCCCGGUCUAAUGCCCGGUCCUGCCAAGGAUCCCCUUAAAGCCCAGAUCCCAGCCCUGGACAUUUCCCUCUGCCCUCUUCUUGUAGAAUGCCCAGUUCUAAGUUCCAAAGGCCGGUGAGUAGUAUGCUGAUUUGCUUGCAGGAUAUAGGGGCAGUGGCAAGGGUGUGACUAGAAGACUGAAUACUCUAAGCGGAUUGCAAAUGAUAAGAUGUCUGGAAUUGUGAAAGAGAAUUUUUUUUUCUAACGCUGAAGGAAAGAGGGAUGAGGGAAGGCACUAGAAUGCAUGGGUGAAUGAAAAGUGAAAGCCAGCCUGUUGUUGAGAAUACGAAUUGGUAGAGAAUAUAGAUACUAUUCCUUUUGUGACUUUGGGAAGCAAUUUAUGAUUCGUGAGUCCCCUCUCUUUUGUUGCUAUUCUAGUAAAGUUUGGAUAUAACAUGAUUCUUGCUGAAGGUCAGGAGAAUUUGACCUUUUGAGCUUCCGUAAUUUAUUUCUAUUAUAGAUCUUGUAAAUGUGUUUUUCAGUGUUGUCUUCCUCGCUAGGGACCAGGUACUGGCUUUCAUUCAAAUUUGUGUUCCUGGCAACAAGCAUUGUGCCUGGCACAUAAUAGGUACUCAAUCAAUGCUGGUGUACGCUGUAAGGGAGAGCUUUAUUCCUCAAUCCCGACUUUGGAAGCAAUCUCAGGUUCAUGCAUGUGACACCUCCUUCAUAGGCAAAUAUAGGUCGUCAUUGAAGAAUUUGUUCAUUUCUUUAAUACAAAUUUAUGGAGCCCCUACUCUGUGCCAGGUACUAUUCUAGAUGAGGGGACUUGUCCAUAAAGGAACUCGACCACAGUCUCAGCUCUCACAGUGCUCCUGUACUGGCGGGGAAGACAGAAACUUAACAGGUAAAUAAGUACAUAUAUGGUAAGUUAGAUGAUAGCAAGUACUAGAGAGAAAAAGAAAGCAGAGGAGUGUGACAGUGCAGGGAGGAUGUGAGCCAGUGAAGACUCCCCAGAGGUGACCAUGGCAGAAGCUGCCUACACUCGCUGGAAUUCUGUGCUCCUCUGCACUCCCUGGCCUCUGUCGUAGUAAAGCAGACUGGGUGACUGGUGCUCGCCAAUGGAUUGCGAGCAGAAGGGGCACAUGGCACUCUCAGGCCAAGGCAAUUCAGAGCCAGUGAGCUUUCUCCAUCCCUGUCUUCUGCCUUGGAGCAUUUAGAGGCCAUGUGUUCAGAAAACAGUAUCACCAGAUGGGAAGAACUGGGUUCCUGAGAACUGGAUGGAGGAGAGAACUGCUUGCCUUCCUUGUAUUUAUUGCCCUGACUAAUGCAGUGACAUUUGAGCAAAGCCCUGAAGAAGGUGAGGGAGUGAGCCAAAUACUUACCUUGGGGGAGGAACACUCCAGGCAGAAGGAACAUGAGUGACACCUGGACAGGUUGAGAAACCUACAGAGAACCAAUUUUACUUCUCUCCAGACUGCUUGGAUGUUUUGACUCAAUUAAAAACCCUUACACCAGGUUUUGGUUUUGGCUUUUAAAAUUAUUAUUAUUUAUUAUUAUUUUUGAGGUGGAAUCUCACUCUGUCGCCCAGGCUGGAGUGCAAUGACGCAAUCUUGGCUCACUUCAACCUCCACCUCUUAUGUUCAAGGGAUUCUCCUGCCUCAGCCUCCCGAGUAGUGGGGAUUACAGGUGCCUGCCACCAUGCCUGGCUUAUUUUUAGUAGAGACAGGGUUUCGCCAUGUUGGCCAGGAUGAUCUUGAACUCCCCCCUCAGUGAUCUGCCUGCCUUGACCUCACAAAGUGCUGGGAUUACAGGUGUGAACUACCUCACCUGGACACAUUAUUUUAAUAAGCUUGAUUUUUUAGAGUAAUUUUAGGUUCACAGCAAAAUUGAGAGGAAGGUACAGAGACUUCUAUGCACUGCCUGCCCCAGGCACUGGUGGCCUCCCUCACCAGAGUGCCACAUUUGUUACAUCUGAGGACCCUGCAUGACACAUCAUUAUAGCAUUAUCAUCCACAUCUAUAGUUUACCUUUGGGUUCAUUCUCCAUGUUGUACAUUUUGUGGCUUUGGACAAAUGUAUGACAUUUCCACUAUUAAAGCAUCAUAUAGAGUUGAUUCACUGCCCUAAAAAUUCUCUGUGCUCCAACAAAGUCCCUUUUUAAAAAAGGAAAAAAAGCCAGUUUAUUUGCAAUUGUGAGGGGGGAGAAAAAGACAGGGUCCAAUCUCCUAUUCUCUGCCUUUGUUUGUUUGUUUGUUUCGUUUUUGUUUUUUUGAGAUGGAGUCUCAUUCUGUCGCCCAGGCUGGAGUGCAGUGGCGUGAUCUCUGCUUAUUAAAACCUCUGCCUCCCAGGUUCAAGCCAUUCUCCUGCCUCAGCCUCCUGAGUAGCUGGGACUACAGGUGCCCGCCACCAUGCCCGGCUAAUUUUUUGUAUUUUUAGUAGAGACGGGGUUUCACCGUGUUAGCCAAGAUGGUCUCAAUCUCCUGACCUUGUGAUCCGCCCACCUCAGCCUCACAAAGUGCUGGGAUUACAGGUGUGAGCCUCCAUGCCUGGCCUGUUCUCUGGCUUUUGCUCUCUGGUACAGACUUUAUUUUCCCCUCAGGAGAGAUGUGGCUUAUUCUAUAUGCAGGGGUAACAGUGAUGUCUGGGUUGGGGUCUGCAUCCUUCUGUCUUGGUGACAGCUGGGGGGAUAGAGCUGAGUGUAAGGACACCAUCCAACUGUAGCAGUCCUUAGUGGCGCUCCCUUCUAGUUCCUGUGCCCCUUUCAGGCCAGCCCGCACCCCUUCCCAAGGCUCACAGACAACUUUUUUCUCACUGGCUUCAUUUCUCUAAGACAACUUCACAAAAGCUCCAUUGUAAUCACUAUCUGCUCAACUGCUUCAUCUUACUUACAAGUUUGGUAAAUGCAAACGUUCCUCUGUCUAGGUCUUACAGACCUGUAGGAAGUUACCUUUGAUGAAUGGUACAUUUGAAGUCAAAACAUACUCUCUGAACCCCAAACAUAGUAUAGCUUUUGGUACUCUUUCCAAAAAGAAGAAAAUCAUAAUACUAUUCUAUAUGGAAAAGUUCCAAUAUAUAAGUUGACACAAAUUUUACCUUUAAAAAAAAAUUCCAAUACCCGUGUUUAGGUAAGUACAAAUGAAACUUUAAGAAAUUCCAGUAUCAAUGUUUUUCAGACUCAGAUAUUGUUUAGAUCCUUUGUAAGGGGAAAAGAUUCUCAUAGAUAUCUAGAGUUAGCUUUUUAAAAAUAAUGUUGCAUACAUAUGUCUGUGUAUGUAUGUAUGUAAGCAAACACAAAACUAAGGACUCCUGAGUUUUAUAGAUUUGAUCCAUCUAUAAAACUAAAAACAUAAUUAAAUACAAACAAAACUACCAAAUGAGGCAAUUCAAAUCUAAAAUUUUGAUUUAAUGUAAGGAAUGAUAUGUUGCUGAAGCCAAUAGUAUGUGAUGAGUCAGCUCUCCCACAACCUUUCUUAGGACAGCACACCACAAUAGAAUUUGCCUGUAACUUGGUGUGACCACAUAACUCAUUUUAAAAAUCCUCUGUUGCUUCUUUGAAAACCAAGGCGUGAGGGAACGAUCCAAGAUGGCUAAUCGCUAACAUCUCGGGAUUGCAGCUCCCAGCGAAAGCGCAGAGAACCAGAGGACGCCACACUUUCAGACAAAUUUUGGUCGCUCACGGAGCAGAAGAUUCCCAGUGGAGGAGCUGCAUGGGUCGCCAGGGCGACUCUUGUGGCCAGCACAGCGGUUUCGCCGGCACCUCGGCUCGGCAGCACUUGGUGCAGAGUAAACGGGACUGGUUCCCCUUCUGACCGACGUUCAGAGCUCCGGGAAGGCAGAAUCACCUAUUACAGACUCAAGAAGAAAGCCAGACUGGAGAUUCCGGGGCAGAAAAGCACCAUCAGUCUUAAUGCCGCUGUUUUGGCCAGCGCAGUUGGUUGCUCAUAUUUCGGCCCUGGGAAUUAACAACUUGGACAUCCACUCAGAGACCUAAUUUGGAAGUUGGUAAUUACAAAGACCACAGGUGGAUAAAUUUACAAUGAUGGGAAGAAACCAGCAUAAAAAGGCUGAGAAUACUCAAAAUCAGAACGCCUCUCCCUCUAAAGAGGAUCACAGUUCCUCAUCAACAAGGGAACAAGACUUGAUGGAGAACGGGUGCAUUCCAUUAACAGAAUCAGGCUUCAGAAGAUGAAUAAUAAGAAACUUCUGUGAGUUAAAAGACCAUGUUGUAGCCCAAUGUAAAGAAACUAAGAACUUUGAAA